This 496-nucleotide ribosomal RNA is filed under the name uncultured bacterium. RNAcentral's name for it is "partial 16S ribosomal RNA". It matches the Rfam family "Bacterial small subunit ribosomal RNA", at positions 28 to 507 of the family's 1533-position model. The record is from RNAcentral.
GAUGAACGCUGGCGGCGUGCCUAAUACAUGCAAGUCGAGCGAACGGACGAGAAGCUUGCUUUUCUGAUGUUAGCGGCGGACGGGUGAGUAACACGUGGAUAACCUACCUAUAAGACUGGGAUAACUUCGGGAAACCGGAGCUAUACCGGAUAAUAUUUUGAACCGCAUGGUUCAAAAGUGAAAGACGGUCUUGCUGUCACUUAUAGAUGGAUCCGCGCUGCAUUAGCUAGUUGGUAAGGUAACGGCUUACCAAGGCAACGAUGCAUAGCCGACCUGAGAGGGUGAUCGGCCACACUGGAACUGAGACACGGUCCAGACUCCUACGGGAGGCAGCAGUAGGGAAUCUUCCGCAAUGGGCGAAAGCCUGACGGAGCAACGCCGCGUGAGUGAUGAAGGUCUUCGGAUCGUAAAACUCUGUUAUUAGGGAAGAACAUAUGUGUAAGUAACUGUGCACAUCUUGACGGUACCUAAUCAGAAAGCCACGGCUAACUACGUG